Molecule: ribosomal RNA, 749 nt
Filed under: uncultured bacterium
Lineage: Bacteria
Description: bacterial SSU rRNA
Rfam family: Bacterial small subunit ribosomal RNA
Source: RNAcentral
AGAGUUUGAUCCUGGCUCAGGAUCAACGCUGGCGGCGUGCCUAAUGCAUGCAAGUCGAACGCUCGGGCCUUCGGGUUCGGGAGUGGCGAACGGCUGAGGAACACGUGCGUACCUACCUCCUUGCGGGGAAUACCGGCUGGAAACAGCCGACAAUACCGCAUACGCUUGGCGUCAAGCCAAGGAAACCUUCGGGGCGGGGAGCGGGGCGCGCGGCCCAUCAGGUUGAUGGCGGGGUAACGGCCCACCAUGCCGAUGACGGGUCGCUGGUCUGUGAGGACGGCCAGCCAGACUGGGACUGCGACACGGCCCAGACACCUACGGGUGGCAGCAGCAAGGAAUCUUCGGCAAUGGGCGCAAGCCUGACCGAGCAACGCCGCGUGGAGGAUGACGGCUUUCGUGUAAACUCCUUUUGCUAGGGACGAAACGACGGUACCUGGCGAAUCAGCCCCGGCUAACUCUGUGCCAGCAGCCGCGGUAAGACAGAGGGGGCAAGCGUUGUCCGGACUUACUGGGCGUACAGCGCGCGCAGGCGGUCGGCAAGGUAUUUGGUGACAGGCUCCCGCUCAACGGGAGACGUGCUGAAUAAACCGGCGGACUGGAGGCCAAGAGAGGGAAGUGGAAUGCCCGGUGGAGCGGUGAAAUGCGUAGAGAUCGGGCGGAACACCGCGGCGAAGGCGGCUUCCUGGCUUGGACCUNNNGCUGAGGCGCGAGAGCGUGGGAGCAAACGGGAUUAGAUACCCUAGUAGUCC